Molecule: non-coding RNA, 170 nt
Organism: Pongo abelii (Sumatran orangutan)
Lineage: Eukaryota; Metazoa; Chordata; Mammalia; Primates; Hominidae
Source: Rfam
AUACUUACCUGGGGAGGGUGAAAUACCAUCAUCACAAAGGUGGUUUUCCCAGGGAUGAGGCUUAUCCAUUGCACUCUGGAUGUGCUGAUCCCUGCAAUUUCCCCAAAUGUGGACGAACUUCAACUGCAUAAAUCUUUGGCAGUGGGAAACUGUGUUCACACUCUCUUCUG